AUGGUUCCCAAAGGCUGCAUCCUAGGUAAGGAGGACAGGACCCCAUUCCUACCUGAGCCCAUCUCCCAACUCAGCCACCUCCAGGGCUCGCUCCCCACUCUACCCUACACCUCAUCCAUGUUCCCAUGCCUGGCCACCUCCCCAGACAACUUGCUCACAUCAAUUCCCCACUCACAGCCCCAGGUCAGUCCCAUCCACAGCCCUGCUUUAGUCCCUGAACUACUGACCAAAGCCAUACUGAGCCCUGAUUCCACUCCCACCCAAUCUUCUAAAUGUCAGUGCCAGUCACACCUGUGGCUGCCUGGUUACCAACUCCUCCUCUUCCCUCUCCCACAGCUGUCUUGGCUGCUGUCUGCAUCGUCAGGCUCCUCUGCUCACAAGGAGCCCCAGUGGCCCCCACAAGUCCUUACCUGAUGCUGUGCCAGCCGCAUCUGAGAUGUGGGGACAAAUUCUACGACCCCCUGCAGCACUGUUGCUAUGACAAUGCUGUCGUGCCCUUGGGCAGAACCCGGGGGUGUGGAAACUGCACCUUCAGAGUCUGCUUUGAGAAGUGCUGUUCCUGGUACAGGAACAGCCCCCAGCCAUCCCUUAUGGUGAAGCUGGUAGACCAGAACUGCACCUCAGAGCCCACCUUGGACGACAAGCCCUGUCACAGGUGAGUCCUGUCCCCUCCAUGGGAUUGUGGUGCAGGGAAGCAGGGGAGACCCCAUUCUCCGUGUCUCCCUGUCUCUCCCUUUCCCUACACCUUGUUUCUUCCUCCAUUUAUUUUUAUUUCCCUCUCAGAACCUCACUCAACACUGCCGUCCUCUCCUCCUGGCUCUCCUGUCCUCUUUUCUGCCCAUGUCCAGUCUCUCCCCCCAUCUCUGGGCAUCUCUGUCCUGCUCAGUGUCUCUCUCUGUCACUCUCUCCAGUCUCAGCUGAUGGAACAUCAGGGGAACUAUAACUCCUGGAUUCUGUUUCCUGGAUGGGCCCAGAGACUCUAACCUCUCACGAUGACCCCUAUGGCUGACAUCAAGCAGGCAGUACCCCAACACUGGCUUCUUCAAGGCUGUCCCUUCUGUAAGACACUUCAUUAGUUUAGGUCCCUUCUCUCCCAGGAACAAUAUGCACACAUUUAAUAAAUGUAUGUACUUUGUUUAAUGUUGUAGAAUGUAUGAAUUAUUAGAGGGCUUGGUCGGCUGGAAGGGGUCAUAGACAGUGACAUCAGUCCCUCUUUCCUCUGUCACCCUGAGGCAGCCAGGCUUCUCCACUUAUUCUGUCAGAGGCGUUGGAACCAGAGUGACUCCACGUUGAGUGAGGGCUAGGGAAAUGAAGCUGGGACUUGCUGGGCUGCAUUCCCACAAAGUUAGACAUUCCUAGACUCAAGAUGUUUACAGUGAAGGGGACAGAUUAAUGUUUACUGGAACAGACCCAGAUUUGGGAGUGUCCCGACAGACUUGGGGGUGUCCCGAUAUCUGCAGAUUCCUAAUUUUGCUUUAAAGAUAAUACCAUUUCUUGCAAAAUAUAGUAACUAAGAAAACUAAUCCUUUAUCACAAACCCUUACAGUAGAAUGCAUCUCCUCACAUAUAGGAGCACUGUCCCGAGGACAAACACGUUCCUCCUCUUACUUUUGGGAAUGCCCUACUCUGUCUAAGCUGUCUAUGGAGUAGCUGUACUUUCGCCACUAAGCUUUUAUUAUUAUUUUUUGAGACGGAGUCUUGCUCCAUCACUCAGGCUGGAGGGAGGUGGCAGGAUCUCAGCUCACUGCAGCCUCCACCUCCCAGGUUCAAGCAGUUCUCCUGCCUCAGCCUCCAGAGUAGCUGGGACUACAGGCUUGCACCGCCACACCUGGCUAAUUUUUGUAUUUUUAGUAGAGACAGGGUUUCAUUAUGUUGGCCAGGAUGGUCUGGAUCUCUUGACCUCAUGAUCCACCCACCUUGUCCUCCCAGAGUGCUGGGAUUACAGGCCGUGCCCGCCCCCCACUGUUUUUUGUUUUUUUGUUUUUUCUUUUUUGAAAUGAGUGCAAUGGCCGGGGGCAGUCUUGGCUCACUGCAACCUCCGCCUCCCAGGUUCAUGCAAUUCUCCUGUCUCAGCCUCCAGAAUAGCUGGGAUUACAGGCACCCGCCACCACGCCCGGUUGUAAUGUUUGCAGUUUUAGUAGAGAGGGGGUUUCACCAUGUUGUCCAGGCUCGUCUGGAACCCCUGACCUCAAGUGAUCCACCCGCCUCGGCCUCCCAAAGUGUUGCAAUUACAGGCACGAGCCGCCACGCCCAGCCCAUACUUCCUUAAUAAACUUGCUUUUGCUUUGCACUGGGGAUUCGCCCUGAAUUUUUUCUUGCGUGAGAUCCAACGAACCAUCUCCUGGGAUCUAGAUCAGAACCCCUUUCCUGUAACAGCUCCUUAUGUGCACACUAUUCCUUUUUCUUUCUUUUUUUCACCUAUUUUUAAAAAUAAUUUUAAUACAGAAAGGGCACAAGAGGGGCGACCGGCCUUAUUCUUCCAUCCGCGAUGGGGAGAUGGCUGCAGCCACCGCAGCGACAAGGGCCACAGGUUCACCCUCCCACGCCCACAUCUGCCCUCCCACUGCUUUCAGAACCCAGUCGCAGUUCUAGGAGGAGCACGGGUUGAGGGUGGAGGCGGGAAUCACAAGAGGGCAGCAGAGGGUGGUGGGAUGGGCACCUGGAGACCAAGGCGGCGGCAGAGCCUGAGCCAGAGCAGGUGCGGGCGGGGCAGAGGCCGUGGGCUGGGGAGGAGCCCUCAAGGAUUCAGAGUGGAAGGAAGGAAAGGACACGUGGAGGGCGCGGACCGGGGAGGAGCCCCGGGAUGGAGAUGGCGGGAGAGGGAAGGAGGAAAGGCCAGCAGAGGGCACAGGACUCUCAGCCACCAGGUCCGGCGCUCUAGAAAAACCCUCAUGCUCAGAGCUGACUAGGAAUAGGUCGCAGAAACGGGGCCACGUUGCUCCUUAUUCGACCCAAAAGCAGGUCCCGAGGAAGGCUUCAGCCCCAGGGUCCCCACCAACGUGAAGGCAGAGGGGCUGCCACCUUUCCGGGCCUCGUUUCCCGGGUGAGGGUCUCUGCGCAGGACCCAGACCCACGCCCCUGGGCCUCGAAGUCACCAGAGGCCAAUCCAGGCUCCCGGACUGCCCGAGGCCUUCCCCGGCGGAUUCUGACUCAGAGGGUUCCGUCAUCGCCUCCUAGAUGGCAGCAUCGCCUCAGUAGCCCCAGCCCGGCCCAGGCGCCAGGUGUCUGCACCUGCGGGAACUCUGGACCCGGCACAUCACAUGGCAGCAAUUUGGCAUCACAGAGCACACUCCUGUCUCACAGGCCUAACCCCAGCCAGGCCUAUCAGUGGGCGCACACCCAGUGCUGGGUGAGCUCUGCCUCCCCAUCCCAGGAUUCUGCAGGGUGUGAGGGCUGAGCUAAGGCUCCCUCCUGUGUGAGGGAGCGACAGACCCAGGCCACCAAUGGGGCGGUGCUUCAUCAUCCUCCACAGCGAGCUCCUAAACCUGCACCCUGUCCACACGUGACUCUCCCUGCCUCCACCCCCCGCCCCAGCACCCCGGUCCAUGAAAUGAUCUCAACUGAUUGUUCACACGGGAAAUUAAAAACCUUCAAGUGGCUCCAGGAGAGCAGGAGAGAGGCGGGUAUCCCGGCUCAGACCCCGCCCCGGGAGGCCCCCACGAAGC
Long non-coding RNA from Callithrix jacchus (white-tufted-ear marmoset), 3665 nucleotides. The record is from Ensembl. NCBI's taxonomy places the organism in Eukaryota, Metazoa, Chordata, Mammalia, Primates, Cebidae.